UGCCUUAUCAGCUAUCGAUUGUAGGUUAAACGCCUACAAUGGCUAUCACGGGUAACGGGGAAUCAGGGUUCGAUUCCGGAGAGGGAGCCUGAGAAACGGCUACCACAUCUAAGGAAGGCAGCAGGCGCGCAAAUUACCCACUCCCGGCACGGGGAGGUAGUGACGAAAAAUACUGUUGCGAGCCCCGAACGGGGCCUCGCAAUUGGAAUGAGUACACUUUAAAUCCUUGUACGAGGAUCGAGUGGAGGGCAAGUCUGGUGCCAGCCGCCGCGGUAAUUCCAGCUCCACUAGCGUAUAUUAAAGUUGUUGCGGUUGAAACGCUCGUAGUUUGACUUCUGCUCCGGACCGGCGGUCCGCCUUAGCGGCGGCUACUGCCGGGUUCCGAGCUGUGUCCCCGCCGGCGCACAUGGGGUUUUUAUGCCCUUAACCGGGUGUCCCCUUGUGGCCGGCACGUUUACUUUGAAAAAAUUAGAGUGCUCAGAGCAGGCUGGUUUUUGCUUACAGCCCGAAUGGUCGUGCAUGGAAUGAUGGAACAGGACCUCGGUUCUAUUUUGUCGGUUUUUCGGAACCCGAGGUAAUGAUUAAUAGAAGCAGACGGGGGCAUUCGUACUGCGACGCUAGAGGUGAAAUUCUUAGACCGUCGCAUGACGACCUACUGCGAAAGCAUCUGCCAAGGAUGUUUUCAUUGAUCAAGAACGAAAGUUAGAGGUUCGAAGGCGAUCAGAUACCGCCCUAGUUCUAACCUUAAACGAUGCUGACUAGCGAUCCGCCGCAGUUAUUCCCAUGACCCGGCGGGUAGCUUCCGGGAAACCAAAGUCUUUGAGUUCCGGGGGAAGUAUGGUUGCAAACCUGAA
This 854-nucleotide ribosomal RNA is filed under the name Penaeus monodon (black tiger shrimp). RNAcentral's name for it is "SSU rRNA". It matches the Rfam family "Eukaryotic small subunit ribosomal RNA", at positions 308 to 1141 of the family's 1831-position model. The record is from RNAcentral. RNAcentral also lists the same sequence under 1 other name. Lineage: Eukaryota; Metazoa; Arthropoda; Malacostraca; Decapoda; Penaeidae.